This 462-nucleotide ribosomal RNA is filed under the name uncultured bacterium. Its description in RNAcentral is "partial 16S ribosomal RNA". It matches the Rfam family "Bacterial small subunit ribosomal RNA", at positions 28 to 507 of the family's 1533-position model. The record is from RNAcentral.
GACGAACGCUGGCGGCGUGCUUAACACAUGCAAGUCGAGCGGUAAGGCCGUGCGGGGUACACGAGCGGCGAACGGGUGAGUAACACGUGCGUGAUCUUCCCUGCACUUCGGGAUAAGCCUGGGAGACUGGGUCUACUACCACAUAUUACCUCCUGUCGCAUGGUGGGUGGUGGCAAGGUUUAUCGGUGCAGGAUGGGCCCGCGGCCUAUCAGCUUGUUGGUGGGGUAAUGGCGUACCAAGGCGACGACUGGUAUCCGACCUGAGAGGGUGACCGGCCACACUGGGACUGAGACACGGCCCAGACUCCUACGGGAGGCAGCAGUGGGGAAUAUUGCACAAUGGGCGAAAGCCUGAUGCAGCGACGCCGCGUGAGGGAUGAAGGCCUUCGGGUUGUAAACCUCUGUCAGCAGAGACGAAGCGGAAGUGACGGUACCUGCAGAAGAAGCACCGGCUAACUACGUG